This 778-nucleotide ribosomal RNA is filed under the name uncultured Bacteroidota bacterium. RNAcentral describes it as "bacterial SSU rRNA". It matches the Rfam family "Bacterial small subunit ribosomal RNA", at positions 562 to 1341 of the family's 1533-position model. The record is from RNAcentral. Lineage: Bacteria; Pseudomonadati; Bacteroidota.
AAAGGGUGCGUAGGAGGGCAGGUAAGUCAGUGGUGAGAUCUCCAAGCUUAGCUUGGAAACUGCCGUUGAUACUAUCUAUCUUGAAUAUCGUGGAGGUGGGCGGAAUAUGUCAUGUAGCGGUGAAAUGCUUAGAUAUGACAUAGAACACCAAUUGCGAAGGCAGCUCGCUACACGAAUAUUGACUCUGAGGCACGAAAGCGUGGGGAUCAAACAGGAUUAGAUACCCUGGUAGUCCACGCCCUAAACGAUGGAUACUCGACAUACGCGAUACACAGUGUGUGUCUGAGCGAAAGCAUUAAGUAUCCCACCUGGGAAGUACGACCGCAAGGUUGAAACUCAAAGGAAUUGGCGGGGGUCCGCACAAGCGGUGGAGCACGUGGUUUAAUUCGAUGAUACGCGAGGAACCUUACCUGGGCUAGAAUGCUGGUUGACCGAGGGUGAAAGCUCUCUUUGUAGCAAUACACAACUAGUAAGGUGCUGCAUGGCUGUCGUCAGCUCGUGCCGUGAGGUGUUGGGUUAAGUCCCGCAACGAGCGCAACCCCCAUCACUAGUUGCCAUCAGGUAACGCUGGGAACUCUAGUGAAACUGCCGUCGUAAGACGCGAGGAAGGAGGGGAUGAUGUCAAGUCAUCAUGGCCUUUAUGCCCAGGGCUACACACGUGCUACAAUGGGGCGUACAAAGGGCUGCCACUUAGCGAUAAGGAGCCAAUCCCAAAAAACGCCUCUCAGUUCAGAUCGCAGUCUGCAACUCGACUGCGUGAAGCUGGAAUCGCUAGUAA